AGAUGUUGGACAGAGGAGAAAACGAGGUGAUCCAGGGAAGAGCUCCGACUACUAGAAUGUGAAUCCAGACUCAUCUACAGGUCCAUAAAGAGAAGUGCAUCAUCAAUGAAACAAGACAAGUCUGGACAACAACAUGAA
Molecule: long non-coding RNA, 138 nt
Organism: Mugil cephalus (flathead mullet)
Lineage: Eukaryota; Metazoa; Chordata; Actinopteri; Mugiliformes; Mugilidae
Exons: 3
Source: RefSeq, a predicted model, not a curated record